Long non-coding RNA from Oncorhynchus masou masou (cherry salmon), 995 nucleotides. RefSeq lists it as uncharacterized. The transcript is spliced from 2 exons. NCBI's taxonomy places the organism in Eukaryota, Metazoa, Chordata, Actinopteri, Salmoniformes, Salmonidae. The record is from RefSeq and is a predicted model, not a curated record.
UUGGGCUACGGCGUUUCCUGUUUUGACAGGAGUGCUUGUAAAGACCAAUAUCAGUGGAACAGUUUGGCACUCAAAGCUUGUUAGUGCUGUGAGAAUCUGCUAAGAACAGGACCGAGAGCAGGAUGUUCUUUGUGGGUUGCGGGGGGAGUAUAUUUUUGAGUGAUGCCAGUCAUGUGUCCUUCCCUUAAGUUGUGUUGUGCAAGGAUACUUGUGUUUUUGCACGUAGGCUCUAUGCUUGACUGAGGACACCUAGGCAAGAGUUGUCUGAAGACAACUGGGUUGACCAGAAUAUUGGCUAACUAGUGAUGCUUGGUUAUAUGAUUAUUUAUAUAACAUUGCUCACCUGAUAUUGUUCCGAAUUUAAAACUGGCCAAUGGGGAGAACUGCUGGAUGCAAAAGUUUCUACGACAUUAAUUACAAACAACUGUGCGCAGGGAGACCAAAACGACACUGCUCCAAGGAUCGUAAUAAUCUUCUUCAUCCAGAGCAAUCUACACACAUUACCCAUAAAUGACAACGUGAACCCUGUUUAGAACUCUGAGACAAGAUUGUGUUGAGGCACAGAUCUGGGGAAGGGUACCAAAAUAAUUCUGCAGCAUUGAAGGUCACCAAGAACACAAGUUUGGAACCAAGACUCUUCUUAGAGCUUGCCACCAACCCAAACUGAGCAAUCGGGUGAGAAGGGCCUUGGUCAGGAAGGUGACCAAGAACCCGAUUGACCUGGACAGGCUUACUCGCUGCCAAAUGUGCUUCUACAAAGUAUGAACCUGGGGUGUAAGUGCUUAUGUAAAUCAUAUCUGUAUUUAAAUGUACAACAGUCUAAAACAUGUUCACUUUGUGUGCACCAUACCCUGUAAUGACAGUGAAAACAUUUUAUACAUUUAUUGAAAAUGAAAUGUGGGAGCUAUUUAAUCCAUUUUGACUUCAGGCUAUAACUUAAUGUGGAAUGCCAAGGCACUGUACAUGUCAAGUGCGUCUAUAAAUAUUGGUUCUAC